Molecule: long non-coding RNA, 350 nt
Filed under: Nicotiana benthamiana
Lineage: Eukaryota; Viridiplantae; Streptophyta; Magnoliopsida; Solanales; Solanaceae
Description: long non-coding RNA (NBEN_LNC018531)
Source: RNAcentral
UGAUCCAAAUAGAUAUCUCAGACAUUUUUGUCAAAGAAACUCUUUUUCUCAAAGGAAGAUUUGAAUAGGAACAACUCUCCUCAUCCUUAACUUUUGUAAAUGUCUCCCUUUUUUCAGGUUCUUGAUAAGUAGUAGUAGUAUUAGUAAUCUGAUCAAUAAUGGAACAACUCUCCUCAUCCUUAACUUCUGUAAAUAUCUCCGCUUUUUCAGGUUCUUGAUAAGUAGUAGUAGUAGUAUCAGUUAUAUAAUCAAUAAUUCUAUUGACUUUUGUACAGUUAUCAUUGAAACAAGAAACUAAGUCAUAAGGCAAAUUCACUUGUACCCAACUGUUGGAUUGCUCAUCAUAUUCC